Desmophyllum pertusum is the source of this 77-nucleotide non-coding RNA. The record is from the annotation of a GenBank genome assembly. Lineage: Eukaryota; Metazoa; Cnidaria; Anthozoa; Scleractinia; Caryophylliidae.
GGCCUUUCAUAGCUCAGUUGGUAGAGUAACGCACUAGUAACGCGGAGGGUCAUGGGUUCAAAAUCCCGUUGCAGCCA